AAUACGUAUGUCCCGAGCGUUAUCCGGAUUUAUUGGGCGUAAAGCGAGCGCAGGCGGUUUCUUAAGUCUGAUGUGAAAGCCCCCGGCUCAACCGGGGAGGGUCAUUGGAAACUGGGAGACUUGAGUGCAGAAGAGGAGAGUGGAAUUCCAUGUGUAGCGGUGAAAUGCGUAGAUAUAUGGAGGAACACCAGUGGCGAAGGCGGCUCUCUGGUCUGUAACUGACGCUGAGGCUCGAAAGCGUGGGGAGCGAACAGGAUUAGAUACCCUGGUAGUCCACGCCGUAAACGAUGAGUGCUAAGUGUUGGAGGGUUUCCGCCCUUCAGUGCUGCAGCAAACGCAUUAAGCACUCCGCCUGGGGAGUACGACCGCAAGGUUGAAACUCAAAGGAAUUGACGGGGGCCCGCACAAGCGGUGGAGCAUGUGGUUUAAUUCGAAGCAACGCGAAGAACCUUACCAGGUCUUGACAUCCUUUGACCACUCUAGAGAUAGAGCUUCCCCUUCGGGGGCAAAGUGACAGGUGGUGCAUGGUUGUCGUCAGCUCGUGUCGUGAGAUGUUGGGUUAAGUCCCGCAACGAGCGCAACCCUUAUUGUUAGUUGCCAUCAUUUAGUUGGGCACUCUAGCGAGACUGCCGGUGACAAACCGGANGAAGGUGGGGAUGACGUCAAAUCAUCAUGCCCCUUAUGACCUGGGCUACACACGUGCUACAAUGGGAAGUACAACGAGUUGCGAAGUCGCGAGGCUAAGCUAAUCUCUUAAAGCUUCUCUCANUUCGGAUUGUAGGCUGCAACUCGCCUACAUGAAGNCNGGAAUCGCUAGUAAUCGCGGAUCAGCACGCCNNNGUGAAUACNNUNCCNGGGCCUNGUACACACCGCCCNU
This 877-nucleotide ribosomal RNA is filed under the name uncultured bacterium. RNAcentral's name for it is "bacterial SSU rRNA". It matches the Rfam family "Bacterial small subunit ribosomal RNA", at positions 522 to 1397 of the family's 1533-position model. The record is from RNAcentral.